This 427-nucleotide ribosomal RNA is filed under the name uncultured Gammaproteobacteria bacterium. Its description in RNAcentral is "bacterial SSU rRNA". It matches the Rfam family "Bacterial small subunit ribosomal RNA", at positions 355 to 774 of the family's 1533-position model. The record is from RNAcentral. Lineage: Bacteria; Pseudomonadati; Pseudomonadota; Gammaproteobacteria.
UGGGGAAUAUUGCACAAUGGGCGCAAGCCUGAUGCAGCAAUGCCGCGUGUGUGAAGAAGGCCUUCGGGUUGUAAAGCACUUUCAGACGUGAGGAAAAGUUAAUAGUUAAUAACUGUUAACCCUGACGUUAACGUCAGAAGAAGCACCGGCUAACUCCGUGCCAGCAGCCGCGGUAAUACGGAGGGUGCGAGCGUUAAUCGGAAUUACUGGGCGUAAAGCGCACGCAGGCGGUCUGUUAAGCUAGAUGUGAAAGCCCCGCGCUCAACGUGGGAGGGUCAUUUAGAACUGGCAGACUAGAGUCUUGGAGAGGGGAGUGGAAUUCCAGGUGUAGCGGUGAAAUGCGUAGAGAUCUGAAGGAACAUCAGUGGCGAAGGCGACUCACUGGGCCAUUACUGACGCUGAGGUGCGAAAGCGUGGGUAGCAAACA